Shinella sp. DD12 is the source of this 125-nucleotide non-coding RNA. NCBI's taxonomy places the organism in Bacteria, Pseudomonadati, Pseudomonadota, Alphaproteobacteria, Hyphomicrobiales, Rhizobiaceae. The record is from Rfam.
AUGAUUGCAGAAGGCCCACUCCUCCUCCCAGGGCCGACUGCGGGAAUGGCGGCACUCCUCCUCCCAGUCGCCAUUCGGUUCUAUCGGAAAGCCUGCCGCACCUCCUCCCGCGGCAGGCUUUUCCA